Molecule: ribosomal RNA, 482 nt
Filed under: fungal sp. EXP0387F
Lineage: Eukaryota; Fungi
Description: eukaryotic LSU rRNA
Rfam family: 5.8S ribosomal RNA (bases 178-331)
Source: RNAcentral
GGAUCAUUACAGAGUACCGGUGCCCUCUGGGCGCCUACUCCAACCCUUUGUCUACCAUACUUGUUGCUUUGGCGGGCCAGGUGCCCACGCACCGCCGGCUCAGGCUGGAGAGCGCCCGCCAGAGGAUACAAAAACACUGCUCACCGUGUCAUCUGAGUAAAAAAACAAAUGAAUCAAAACUUUCAACAACGGAUCUCUUGGUUCUGGCAUCGAUGAAGAACGCAGCGAAAUGCGAUAAGUAAUGUGAAUUGCAGAAUUCAGUGAAUCAUCGAAUCUUUGAACGCACAUUGCGCCCCUUGGUAUUCCGAGGGGCAUGCCUGUUCGAGCGUCAUUUAACCUCUCAAGCUCUGCUUGGUGUUGGGUGCUGGCCCACCAGGGCCCGCCCGUAACUCGUUGGCGGUUGUCACCGGCUGAAAGCGUAGCAAAAUAUGCUGGAGCCCGGAGGCGGCCUGUCAGGUACCCACAAUCAAGAGUUUGACCUC